GAGGUAGAGUGCUAGCCUAAAGUAAAAGGCAGCACCCAGGCCCUGAAUUCAAGCCCCACAACUAACGAAAGAAAAGAACCCAUAGUGAAACCGUGUCUAUUGUAUGCAUGCCUCCAAUGUUUAGAUGACCUAUCAAUUAAAUUUGGAAUUCAGAGUAUCUGCACCUUCAAACUAACCCAUUGCCUAUCUUAAUUCAAUAAAUCAUAAACAAAUUUAUAAAAAUUAAAUGUCACACUGAAAUCCAGAAUUUAAGUAUUUUAGUGAAACAAAAAUAAACAUACUUGAAAGCUACAAUACAACUG
Molecule: long non-coding RNA, 302 nt
Organism: Perognathus longimembris pacificus (Pacific pocket mouse)
Lineage: Eukaryota; Metazoa; Chordata; Mammalia; Rodentia; Heteromyidae
Exons: 3
Source: RefSeq, a predicted model, not a curated record